This is a non-coding RNA of Sturnus vulgaris (Common starling), 1320 nucleotides long. The record is from RefSeq and is a predicted model, not a curated record. NCBI's taxonomy places the organism in Eukaryota, Metazoa, Chordata, Aves, Passeriformes, Sturnidae.
GUGUGGGAGGAUGGGAUGAGGGGAUCCUGCUGGCUCCGGGGGCACCCUUUUGUCCCUGGGGAUUGUUCCUGGGCUCACCCCUGUUGUCCCUGGGGUUGUCCCUGGGGUCACCCCCUCUGUCGCCGGGAUGUCUCCGGGAUGUCCAGGUCGGGAGCUCGUUCUCCGUGUCCCGGCUCGGGAGCGGGGGCAGGCGGGGGCUCUGUCUGCCCUGCAGGAGCCGAGGGUUAAAUGAUCUCCGUGGUUUAAGCGUCCCAAGCGGUCCCGCUGCGCUGCGCUGGCUGUGGGUGACAGGCAGAGCCAUAAAUCGGGAGCUGUGGCUGCGGGCUGUGAGCUGACCUGGCGUGUGCCGCUCCAGACACCCAUGUGUACACACUGCUUUUCGGGAGAGAGCAAGGAAUCACAUGAUUUGUGUCAAAACAGUGUGAGUUUACUUCAGAGGUCUGGUACAGGCUGUUCCCGGUGUCCGGGGCCGGCCCCGAGACCUGGCCUUGUCCCGGCUGCAUGGUAAGGUGUGUCACGCUCAGAGGGGUAAAUCAACAUUUGCCACUCGUGCCCUCAGCAAGAAAAUAAGAUAAAAGAAAAAAAAAAGUUUCGUUCAAAGGCCUUUAAAGUACAGGCAUUUGAAUAACUGACACAGGAGAAACAGGGAGUGGGAUUUGUCAUGUUAAGAUACAGUCCCUAUUGUAAUGAUCUUGUUAACUACCGAAAUAAUGCGUGCAAAAACUACAGCAACGCAGAACUCUGUUCAUGAGCUUCCUGAAAACUCCAUACACUAACGAGAUUUUUUCUGGUGUGGGUUUAUGAUAAACUAAAAAAGUUAUCCUGUACUUGCAGUGCACUUGCAAAAGGAAUUUAUCUCCGAUGCAUUGUGGAAGUUUAUUCCACCAAGUAAUUCAGCCAAAUGCUGAGCUGUUCGACUGUUAAAGGAAUAUUCAACUUAGCUAAAGAUAGAAAACAUCUUAAAUUGGGUGUGGGCAUGUGUGGAAAAAUAUAAAAGGAGGAAGUGACUGGAUUCAGUGUAACUAUGUAUGAAUGCAACAGUUGCUUUUCUAGAAGAGAAAGGCAGAAUGUUUUUUGAUAAAGAAAAGUGUUUCAUAGUACAAUUUAGUCAUAUAUUUAAUGAUCCUAAAGCCCAUUUUUUACCCUUAAGGAAAAGAAUAAUGUAAGUUUCCUGUGUGGAGUUGGUAAUGUUUGCUUAAGUGAUGUUACCAUUGCACGGCUUGCUAAAAACAUAAUUCAUAACAGUUACUUUAGUGACAGAUUUGCCUAUUACACAGUAACAUUUUGUUAUUCAUCAUUGUUUCAGACUUUUUCCCUCCA